UAAGGAAUAUUGGACAAUGGAGGCAACUCUGAUCCAGCCAUGCCGCGUGAAGGAAUAAGGCCCUAUGGGUUGUAAACUUCUUUUAGACGGGACAAAACCCCUUUACGUGUAAAGGGUUGAUGGUACUGUCAGAAUAAGCAUCGGCUAACUUCGUGCCAGCAGCCGCGGUAAUACGAAGGAUGCAAGCGUUAUCCGGAAUUAUUGGGUUUAAAGGGUGCGUAGGCGGACUAAUAAGUCAGUGGUGAAAGCCUGCAGCUUAACUGCAGAAUUGCCAGUGCUACUGUUAGUCUCGAGUACAGUGGAGGUAGGCGGAAUGUGUCAUGUAGCUGUGAAAUGCUUAGAUAUGAGACAGAACACCGAUUUCGAAGGCAGCGUGCUAAGCUGUAACUGACGCUGAGGCACGAAAGCGUGGGGAGCA
This 418-nucleotide ribosomal RNA is filed under the name uncultured bacterium. RNAcentral describes it as "bacterial SSU rRNA". It matches the Rfam family "Bacterial small subunit ribosomal RNA", at positions 355 to 770 of the family's 1533-position model. The record is from RNAcentral.